CUACGUGCCAGCAGCCGCGGUAAUACGUAUGUCGCGAGCGUUAUCCGGAAUUAUUGGGCAUAAAGGGCAUCUAGGCGGCCUAACAAGUCAGGGGUGAAAACCUGCGGCUCAACCGCAGGCUUGCCUUUGAAACUGUAAGGCUGGAGUAUCGGAGAGGUGGACGGAACUGCACGAGUAGAGGUGAAAUUCGUAGAUAUGUGCAGGAAUGCCGAUGAUGAAGAUAGUUCACUGGACGAUAACUGACGCUGAAGUGCGAAAGCCGGGGGAGCAAACAGGAUUAGAUACCCUGGUAGUCCCGGCCGUAAACGAUGAUUACUGGGUGUGGGCAGGAAGACUGUCUGUGCCGAAGCAAAUGCGAUAAGUAAUCCGCCUGGGGAGUACGGCCGCAAGGCUGAAACUCAAAGGAAUUGACGGGGACCCGCACAAGCGGUGGAGCAUGUGGUUUAAUUCGACGCAACGCGAGGAACCUUACCAGAUCUUGACAUCCCG
Molecule: ribosomal RNA, 489 nt
Filed under: uncultured bacterium
Lineage: Bacteria
Description: bacterial SSU rRNA
Rfam family: Bacterial small subunit ribosomal RNA
Source: RNAcentral